AUCGGUUUGCACUUCGAACAGAAUGCCUGGUCUGGGGCUCAGUGUAUUAUUAGCUAUUUGUUUAGGAAGUGCUCGGUCGCAGGUGGUUCUGACAGAGACCGGUGGGGAUGUGAAGAAGCCCGGAGAGACCCUCAAGCUGACCUGUAAAACCUCCGGGUUCACGUUCAGUAGCUACUGGAUGGGCUGGAUCCGGCAGCAGCCUGGGAAGGGGCUCGACUGGGUCGCCAGAAUUAGUCCUGAUGGCAGUAGUAAUAAAGACUACUCCCCUUCGGUAACGGGUCGAUUCACAAUCUUCCGGGACAAUUCACAAAACCUCCUUAAUCUGGACAUGAGAAGCCUCAAACCAGAAGACACGGCGACGUAUUACUGUACGAGAGACACAGCGAUGAGAGUGAAUGAGGGACCCGGGCAGUAA
Protopterus annectens (West African lungfish) is the source of this 415-nucleotide non-coding RNA. NCBI's taxonomy places the organism in Eukaryota, Metazoa, Chordata, Ceratodontiformes, Protopteridae. The record is from the annotation of a RefSeq genome assembly.